AGAUUGAACGCUGGCGGCGUGCUUAACACAUGCAAGUCGAGCGGUAACGCGGGAGCAAUCCUGGCGACGAGCGGCGAACGGGUGAGUAAUGCUUGGGAAUCUGCCCAUUAGUGGGGAACAACCAGCCGAAAGGUUGGCUAAUACCGCAUACGCCCUACGGGGGAAAGCGGGGGAUCGUAAGACCUCGCGCUAAUGGAUGAGCCCAAGUCGGAUUAGCUUGUUGGUAGGGUAACGGCCUACCAAGGCGACAAUCCGUAGCUGGUCUGAGAGGACGACCAGCCACACUGGGACUGAGACACGGCCCAGACUCCUACGGGAGGCAGCAGUGGGGAAUAUUGGACAAUGGGGGCAACCCUGAUCCAGCGACGCCGCGUGUGUGAAGAAGGCCUGCGGGUUGUAAAGCACUUUUAGUGGGGAUGAAAAGCUCAGGGUUAACACCUCUGGGUCUUGACCUAACCCACAGAAAAAGCACCGGCUAAACUCUAGCGCCAGCAGCCGC
RNAcentral lists this ribosomal RNA (499 nucleotides) under uncultured bacterium. Its description in RNAcentral is "SSU rRNA". It matches the Rfam family "Bacterial small subunit ribosomal RNA", at positions 26 to 518 of the family's 1533-position model. The record is from RNAcentral.